CACGCCGUAAACGAUGAAUGCCAGCCGUUGGGGGGUUUACCCUUCAGUGGCGCAGCUAACGCUUUAAGCAUUCCGCCUGGGGAGUACGGUCGCAAGAUUAAAACUCAAAGGAAUUGACGG
Molecule: ribosomal RNA, 120 nt
Filed under: uncultured bacterium
Lineage: Bacteria
Description: partial 16S ribosomal RNA
Rfam family: Bacterial small subunit ribosomal RNA
Source: RNAcentral